UACGUAGGGUGCAAGCGUUGUCCGGAAUUAUUGGGCGUAAAGAGCUCGUAGGCGGUCUGUCGCGUCGGCUGUGAAAUCCCGGAGCUCAACUCCGGGUCUGCAGUCGAUACGGGCAAACUGGAGUACUGCAGGGGAGACUGGAAUUCCUGGUGUAGCGGUGAAAUGCGCAGAUAUCAGGAGGAACACCGGUGGCGAAGGCGGCCUCUG
This 207-nucleotide ribosomal RNA is filed under the name uncultured bacterium. RNAcentral's name for it is "partial 16S ribosomal RNA". It matches the Rfam family "Bacterial small subunit ribosomal RNA", at positions 524 to 731 of the family's 1533-position model. The record is from RNAcentral.